AUUGAACGCUGGCGGCAUGGCUAAAACAUGCAAGUCGAGCGCGAAAGAGGAGCAAUCCUCAAGUAGAGCGGCGAAAGGGUGAGUAAUACGUUUCUAUGUACCCCGAGGUGAGGGAUAGCCCAGGGAAACCUGGAUUAAUACCUCAUGUGGUCGCAAGAUCAAAGGAGCAAUCCGCCAUGGGAGCAGGGAACGUCCUAUCAGGUAGUUGGUGAGGUAAUGGCUCACCAAGCCUAUGACGGGUAGCGGGUGUGAGAGCAUGGCCCGCCACAUCGGGACUGAGACACUGCCCGGACUCCUACGGGAGGCUGCAGUAACGAAUCUUCCACAAUGCGCGAAAGCGUGAUGGAGCAAUGCCGCGUGCAGGAUGAAGCCCUUCGGGUGUAAACUGCUGUCAGGGAUUAGGAACACAAUGACCAAUCCCAAAGGAAGAGACGACUAACUCUGUGCCAGCAGUCGCGGUAAUACAGAGGUCUCG
RNAcentral lists this ribosomal RNA (475 nucleotides) under uncultured bacterium. RNAcentral's name for it is "bacterial SSU rRNA". It matches the Rfam family "Bacterial small subunit ribosomal RNA", at positions 30 to 536 of the family's 1533-position model. The record is from RNAcentral.